AAAUAGAAGAGUAAAACGCUUUCAAUUGUUAGAUAAUUUGAAGGGAGACUGUAAAUAUGGGAACAAUCAUUUGCCAAACCUGCAACAAUACAAUUGAGCAUUAUGAAGAUGAAAAGGUCAGUGUUUUGUAUUCACAUUGCGGUACCUGCCAGUAUGAUAUAGAAAAAGAGAUGGAGUAAGCAAGCAAACCAAAGAAAGCCGCCCGGGUUGGGCGGCUUUCUUUGGU
Molecule: small RNA, 226 nt
Filed under: Bacillus sp. MUM 13
Lineage: Bacteria; Bacillati; Bacillota; Bacilli; Caryophanales; Bacillaceae
Description: SR1 sRNA
Rfam family: SR1 sRNA
Source: Rfam by way of RNAcentral